RNAcentral lists this ribosomal RNA (301 nucleotides) under uncultured bacterium. RNAcentral describes it as "partial 16S ribosomal RNA". It matches the Rfam family "Bacterial small subunit ribosomal RNA", at positions 509 to 809 of the family's 1533-position model. The record is from RNAcentral.
CAGCCGCCACGGGAAUACGAAGGGGGCUAGCGUCGUUCGGAAUUACUGGGCGUAAAGCGCGUGUAGGCGGGUCUUUAAGUCAGAGGUGAAAUGCCAAGGCUCAACCUUGGAACUGCCUUUGAUACUGGAGAUCUUGAGUCCGGGAGAGGUGAGUGGAAUUGCGAGUGUAGAGGUGAAAUUCGUAGAUAUUCGCAAGAACACCAGUGGCGAAGGCGGCUCACUGGCCCGGAACUGACGCUGAGACGCGAAAGCGUGGGGAGCAAACAGGAUUAGAUACCCCCGUAGUCCCUGUCUCUUAUAU